Molecule: long non-coding RNA, 439 nt
Filed under: Nicotiana tabacum (common tobacco)
Lineage: Eukaryota; Viridiplantae; Streptophyta; Magnoliopsida; Solanales; Solanaceae
Description: long non-coding RNA (NTAB_LNC004734)
Source: RNAcentral
AGCUUCAAUGAGUGCUAUUAUUGGGAAAAAUGCAGCACAUAUUUUCUCUGAGAUUGUCAAUGAACUCGAACUCUGAAGAAAUCAUAAGAGAUCAAUGAAUACCCAGAAAAUUAUAUUUUUUUUUUGAAAAAAAGGAAGAUUGAGUUUGUUGAAUUACCAGAGAAUCUCGGGUUGAAUCCAUUGAUUUUUAUCACAUUUCUCCCUUAAUUGCUUCCUCGUACCAGCUGGUCCAGAUUACAAAUAAUUCAGAGAGAGAGAGAGAAAGGAGACAGAGAGGAGAGAGAAAAAGAAGGUGGUGUGUGUGUGGUGCGCGGAAGAUUGUCUUGAAAGGAUUGAACACGAUGUCUAUUUAUAUUUUUUCUUCCUCGUCCUAAUAUUAUUCUCAUUUUCCAAUUUCAUAACUUUUGUAUACUAUUAUUUUUCUCUUCAUAAUUUCAAA